GAGACAAAAGAAUUGAAGCGUUGCGAAUUGUGCAGCUAUAGGAUGGAAUGCAAGUGGAAGGGGAAGGAGAAAAUAGGUGC
Long non-coding RNA from Amblyraja radiata (thorny skate), 80 nucleotides. RefSeq lists it as uncharacterized. The transcript is spliced from 3 exons. NCBI's taxonomy places the organism in Eukaryota, Metazoa, Chordata, Chondrichthyes, Rajiformes, Rajidae. The record is from RefSeq and is a predicted model, not a curated record.